Molecule: long non-coding RNA, 3552 nt
Organism: Columba livia (rock pigeon)
Lineage: Eukaryota; Metazoa; Chordata; Aves; Columbiformes; Columbidae
Exons: 3
Source: RefSeq, a predicted model, not a curated record
CGCUCCCGGGAGCCGCUUCUGCAGCUGCGCCGAGACACAAACUUUCCCCGCAAAACUUUGGGACCGGACGCGUUGUGAGAGGGGAGCCUCUCCUGAACGGGAUUUCCCCGCCACGCCCCCUCCGGCACCAGGCAGGAUCUCCCCAGUCACAGUUCAUUACAGAGGCUGGCAGCUCAGAGCAGACACAGGAGAGCAAAGAUUUUUUAAGGACAAUCAUGGAUCCACUUUUAAAGUUCUGUUAAAGGAAGAAAUUAAUGACUUUGGGAGAAAGCCAAGUCUCAUUUUACAACUUAAUAAAAAAGCCCUGUGCAUUUGGCUUAUAUAAUACCUGUUCCACUGCAGGUUCUUCCAAACCAACUAUGGAUUUAAGAAUCAUUACAAGAUUAAAAAUUCAACAUGCAGGUGAAAUUAGACACUGGAUUAGGAAGCUCAUCAACUACGUAAAUAUAAUCAUCACCUUCUGAAGCCUGACAUGUAAGAAAACAGAACUACGAAAGGGUGGCGGCAGCCUGUCUGUGUCAGCAGGGUUGGUACAGUGCCAGUACCUGCAUCAGAAACCCUAUUCUUGGCAGGUUUCUGCAUGUUUCCUUUAUCUUCUGGUAGACAAGCAGCUCAAUGGUUAAAGUACCAGAGUCAUCUUCUGCAAGCGGUGAGGCAGAAGCUGGUGGCAAUGCCUCCUCAUGGUAACAGCAGUAGUCAGGACAGUGAGAGAAGAAAGGUCAUGAAUUGAAACUGAAACCUGCCAAGAAUCACAGGUCAAUUUGGUGAAAUAAAAACACAUUUACCCUGCAGAAAGACCAAUUUACGCUCUUUAAGCACAUUUUCUCUGUAGUUUUUUGGCUCAGCUUCGCAGUGACAGCCAUGGGGGAAAGUUUGGUGUGGAGGGUAGGUCACAGUUACCCACACUCACAACUGCUUCUCUGUGGACUGGUAGUGCACACUGUGUAAGCCCCGUGAAUCCCCCGUGGGGGCCUGGGACCAUCGCCCCAUGAGAGGUGGCGCAGAAACCACGUGUACCAUUGCUGUAAGCUAUUAGGAAACCCCUCUCUCUUGCUGAACUUUCCACGCUGCCCAGCUUUCCAUUUGACAGUUUUUAAAAGUUUGCACCAAAGCUAGCUCAGCCAUCUACACAUGUACACAUUGAAAGGAGUCAGAAGUUGGGAUUCUUAUAUUUAAAGAAAAAUUUAAUGUGACAACCAUGACUCAAGAAGCAGCUGUGACAAAACUGUGCUUGUUUGGCCUGAUCCUUUUCCAAGGGGGGAGGAUUAGACCUUCAGAGGAUUUUUUAAGAUUAGGUAAAUUCAUUCCGAGUGCCGUUAUCAUUUACUGCAGUGAAUUUUGGGACAGGCCUCACUGGCAUAGUUUCAGUGCUGUGUGUUGUAUAUCAAUAUAGAUAUGAUUAGACAAACCUUUGGUGAUUAAGAGGAUUUUAUCAUUAUGAAGGUGUCUUUUGCUCCGGAGCAUAAAUCAUUCAGCAAGAAGUUUCAUUUUAUUUCCUCAAGCUUUUUUAAUUUUUGGUUAAUUAGCUAGAAAUAUACCACAUACAACAUGCUCCUUUUCUCAGUUACAAGGCUAAAAUUUGCCUCUACUAAAAAUUGCUAUGGGACAUUUGAUUGUUUCUUUAAAAUAUUGCUAGCAAUUUGUUAUAAAAUUCAUUUGCUCAGUAUCAGGCAUGCUGGGGUAAUCAUCAAAGCCUUUCUAGGCAAGUUGUGUGUUUACUCAAAAAAUAUUAGGCAAUUCAAAAUGUCUGUUGUUCUUCAGCUAUUACAAAGUUUCAUUUUUAAGAAGUCUCUAAAAAACAAACCCCACUUGACUUAAGCACUUCAGUGAGUUAAUGGUGAAGUUAUUUUAUUCUAACUGGCUCCGGUCUCAAAAGAUGGCCAAAAGAAAACAGCUGCAAUCUUUUUUUCUGAAGGUUAGUGCAUUAUCUUACUCCAAUUCUAAAAUGUUCUUCAAAUGGCAGCUACUAGUCUGUCAAGUGCUGUAGGGCUGGAGAAUGCCUCAGGAUAUCCUGAAAAUUGAUUUUCUGAAAUAGUCAAUUCAUUCUGUAUUUAAAAGUUUGCUACGGGCUUCCAGUCACAGAUGUAAAUGGGAAGGUUAAGAUUAACUCCCUUUCUCUUAUUCCCUCUGCCCUAGCAUGGGGUGGGCAGUGUAUGAGGCGGUAGAUGCCCCAUCCCUGGAGACAUUCAAGGCCAGGCUGGACAGGGCUCUGAGCAACCUGAUCUAGUUGAAGAUGUCCCUGCUCAUUGCAGCAGGUUAGACUAGAUAACCUUUGAAGGUCACUUUCAACCCAAACUAUGAUUUUAUGUAUGUUCUUAUACUAUUAUAUGAUGCAUUUACAUCUUAGUUUGAUGUAUACCCAGUUUUCAGGCUCUGUGCUUGGAGGUUUUCAAGAUAAGACUGGAUAAAGCCCUGAGCAACCUGGCCUGACUCCAUGGCUUACCCAGAUGCAUGCUGGCGGUUGGACUACAGGCUUCCUAUGGUCCUAAUCUAUGUGAGAUAUCCUAUGCUGUCUUCCUGGAUAGCCCAUUGAAACAUUAGAAGGUCACACUUUCACAAAAAUGGCUCAUCUCACUCCUAAAAUGAGAAUUGAAGACUGCUACCCUAACACAGAAUCACAGACCACAAACAGAUGGACGAGGUCCUCGACUAGCAUCAGAAAGGUUUCUGUUGCAAUGCUGUGUGUAAAGCAAGGAGGAAGUUCCUGUGAAAGACUUCAUCCCUUUCAUUAGUAAAUUCCAAAAUAGGUCUGUUUUUCCAGGCCUUUUGAACAGUGUUUGUAAAAGCUUUGUAAUAUUGUAAUUUCCAGUUCACCUGGUUCUAGAGAAGGGGUUCUUGAUUCUGCCAAAUAAUGCUUGAUAUUAGAGUGCCUAGCUGGGAGACAGUUUCUUUGGUGUUUCAGUUAUCGGCGUCACAGUGUUCACACAAAAUUAAUAGUGAAUUUCUUAACUGUUUGAUUUAAAUGCUUUAAAGACAUUCAUAAAGAUCUUGAAGGAUAUGUUCUUCAUGCUUGUCUUUCAGUUUUGACUGAAGGGACAUUAGCAGAUCAUCCUUACUGUGGAAUCGGUGUUUUGCAGCUGUGACUGACUGCUGUUAGGCAUUACACAGGUGGAAAAAAAAAACAUCAAAACCCCUUUUAGAGAAGUUUUGCUAUCUCUUACAUGACCACUAAAUGUCAGAGAAGUAAAAUCUGAAUAUUGUGCUUUGGUCUGUACUCCCUGAGUGUGAGACAAACAAAAUUCUCUUACUCCCAACAGCACUCUUGAUAGUAGAAAGUUCUGCACUGAUUCAACAUCUGUUGACAAGCUGUCUAUAUAAAUUGACAGAGAAAUGAACUGAUACAUGAAACUGAGUGUAUCUCCAAAGUGACACACAAUCUGUUGAAACAAGACACCAUACCAUUAGAUGUGUAAUUCCAGUGUUGUGGUUCCUCUUCCAUCCUAAAAUUCCUGGAAUAAAAAGCAGAAGUACAGUGACAUGACAGUCUGGCAGCUGCCCUGAAGCACACAUAAAAGAGGAUUGAAUUAAAUAAAACUGUAUAGACUUCUCUUA